This 2916-nucleotide unclassified non-coding RNA is filed under the name Actinia tenebrosa (Australian red waratah sea anemone). Its description in RNAcentral is "calpain-7-like, transcript variant X1". The record is from RNAcentral. Lineage: Eukaryota; Metazoa; Cnidaria; Anthozoa; Actiniaria; Actiniidae.
AAGAUGGCGGAUGCCGAAGAACUUUGCCAAGAUGGGUAUCGUUUUGCAACCCAGGCGAUAGCAUGCGACCAGAAAGGCAGCAUAGAAUCUGCUAUUUUCUUUUAUAUUGAAGCUGCUAGCUCCCUGGAAAGGGCUUUAUCCUAUAACAACACGUUAGACGUAAGAGAUAAGGCGCUUCAGUAUGUGCAGAGAGCCGAAGUUCUACGUCUACAAGCUAAAAGUCAGCAGCAGUACCAUGGCCCAUUAAAGACAUCACAACAGAAUAACUUGGAGAAGGCUGAGUUUCUUCUAAAACAAGGUCUGUGUGAAGAUGAGAAAGACAAGCAUACAGAGGCUCUUCCUUUAUACACAGAUGCAGUUCAACUGUGCCUUGAUAUUAGUAAAUCUUUGCCUGAUAGUGAUCCCCUAAAAGCACAAUUCAAUAAUCUUGCCAAGAAAGCUCUGGAAAGAGCUGAAGACAUCAAACGGAUGCAGUCAACUGGAAACAAAUAUGUUGGGACAGGUAGCAAUGAGGGAACUUCAAUCACUAGAGCUGUAGCAGGUUUGAACUUUACAGAGAACAAUUCCACAUCUCAGGGGAAACCAGACAAAGGAAAACCCAAGUACACUCCAGAAGAAAUAGCUGUGUUAAGGGUAACGUCCAAGAUAAAUGGAAAAAUGUAUGUUCCUUGGAAUGAUAUUGACCUGAAAGAGCGCUUUGCUUAUCCUGUCUGUUUCACGGACAAGGAUGGUCCUCUUGCACUUUCUCCUAAGCAAAGAAGUAAUUUUGAACAGUGGGUCAGACCUACUGACAUAUAUGAGGACCCAGAAAUGAUUUAUGCCAUCUCAAGCUUUAGUGUUAAGCAGACAGUUGUGUCGGACUGUUCUUUCAUAUCAUCUUUAGCCAUCAGUGCUGCGUAUGAGAGAGAUUUCAAAAAGAGACUUGUUACGAGCAUCAUAUAUCCACAGAAUAGAGAUGGCUUACCAAUGAUCAACCCUUCAGGGAAAUACAUGAUAAAACUUUGGCUAAAUGGGACUGCACGUAAAGUUAUAAUAGAUGAUACUUUGCCCAUGGGGAAAGAUGGUACUCUCCAGUGUGCACAUUCAACCAACAGAAAUGAAAUGUGGGUUAGCCUAAUUGAGAAGGCCUACAUGAAGGUCAUGGGUGGUUAUGACUUCCCAGGAUCGAAUUCGAGCAUCGACCUCCAUGCCCUUACUGGCUGGAUACCAGAGCGCAUGUCCAUUAAAAAAAACAGCUCUGAGUUCAACGAAGCUCUUCAGUUUGAUAGGCUGAUGAAGGGUCUACGUCAUGGUGAUUGUUUGAUCACGGUUGCCACGGGUAACAUGAGUGACAUUGAAGCUGAUCGUGCUGGACUGGUACCAACGCAUGCUUAUGCUGUCCUUGACAUGCGCAAAGUGAUGGGACAUCGACUUCUGCUGUUAAAAAAUCCUUGGAGUCAUCUAAGAUGGAAGGGAAAAUUCUCUGAAAGAGACGAAAGUAGCUGGACGCCUGAACUACAACGUGCCCUGAACUACGACAGGAAGAGUGCGUUGCAGCAUGACAAUGGCGUGUUUUGGAUAGCAUGGGAGACUCUCCUUCAUUUUUAUGAAGUCAUUUACAUGAACUGGAACCCGAAGCUCUUUGCUCAUCGAUUUACAUUCCAUAGUAAAUGGGAAGCAAAGGAAGGCCCGGUAAAAGAUGCGUAUAACAUUGGUGACAAUCCUCAGUACAGGCUGGAAGUAAACUCUGGGGCGCAGUCUGCAGUAGUAUGGAUUCUACUGACCAGACACAUUACCAAAAAGGAAGACUUUGCUGAGAACAAGGAGUUUAUAACUGUACAUGUCUACAAAACAGAUGGAAAAAGAGUUUACUAUCCAGAUAAUCCAUACCAAGAAGGAACAAAAAUCAACAGCCCAUUUUAUUUGUCAAAGUUGAACGUUCCUGCUGGGAAGCAACGCUUCACGCUGAUCGUCUCACAAUACGAAAAAACUAACACAAUAUACUACACGCUGAAGGUAUUUUCAUCUUCUGAAUUUCGUCUUUCGCCCGUGGUUGAUCCCUACAAGCACGAGAAAACGGUCAAGGACAGUUGGACGGCCAAGACAGCAGGUGGUUGUCCAAACUAUCCCACCUUCAGUAGCAACCCUGUGUACAGUCUGGAACUCAAAUCGCCUGUCACCUCAAAUCCUGCUGAAGUCUUUAUCAAAAUGCUUGCUCCAAAGCAAUUUUCUAUUGGGGUCAUGUUACGAUCUGUGGAUAGAACACCUUCAGGAAAACCCACAUAUGAAGCACCCUUUGAGAGCUACAGUACACAAAGGUUUUGCCAGGUGCCCUGCCUCGUGUGAGCCUGUUAAUGAACCGGUCUGCGGUACUGAUGGAAAGACUUACAAGAACAGGUGUGCAGUGUUGAUGUUCAACUGUAAAGCCAAACAAGGCAAAAUCAAAGUUGAGCAUUAUGGGAAGUGUGAAAAAGACGAUCAUGGAAAGAUAGACUGUCUACGAAUUGGACGCAAAAAAUAUUUUAAAUGUUAAAAAACAAAUCAUCUCUUUUAAAAGACGCUUCACAAGACUUCACCAAGUCUAUCCUCAUUUCCUGAAGAAAGAAAGCAUUGUUUGAAAUAUUUAUAAUGUUCUUUUUGCCUUUGAUGUGAAUACUUUUCUGAAGCAACUAAUAGUGAAUCAGUCUAUUCUAGUGCAGUAAAUUAAAAUGAUUUUACAGAGCCCUAUUGCUGGUUUUCAAUCAUUCCCAAGAGAAUGAAAUAACAAAAGACACGGCGGCCAUGUUGGACGAUAUAACGAAAGAGACUAAUGGCGAAUAUUUUGUUAAAUUCAUCCAACAUGGCAGCUGUGAAAACUAAUAGCUUGGAAAUUAAUUUUCGAGCUGUACUUGGGAUAAUAAAAUUGUAUUGAACGACCACUGAUUCAAGCCCACAAAA